CCCACCCCUGACUGACUUUUCAACGAACUCCUUCAACCGUCACUUUUCUGUCAUGCAUCUGCAAUUGACUGCAAGCUGUACAAACUCUGCCGUCAUCAUAUCCAAGGCAGUGAGUUGUGAGGACUGCUUCCCUGAGAACACUGAGUGCAUUCUGGAAUAUUCCAAAUGUGUGCCACUUCCAUACAAAAGAAGUUUCCAUCCCGCAAGAGAGUUCACUCACCAGUGGGCUCCAUCAACAGACCAGGGCAAAGUCGGUCUGUCCUGCUACUACUACAUGCUACUUGACUAUGUCUGGAAGCCAUGGCUGCUGCCCUCAACAUGCUAAACUGAAACCCUCACAAAUAAACUGAUAUCAAUAAUUAACAUUGAUGGUGAUGGUGGCAAGGGUGCCUUCAUAAGGUGCCAUCCAGCAAGUCCCAGCCUGGAGCCAGAGGCUGGCACUGCACGUUGGGGGAGGAUCUAUGUUAGGCAUCAGAAAGGUGGUUGAAGCAAGAAGGAAAGAGCUUCUGCAGACAGUGUUGCAAUUAGACACCUGACUUUUACUGCCAAAGGGACCAUCAGAGCACCUCUCCCUACCAUCUAUACCAGAAGAGUGCA
Long non-coding RNA from Alosa alosa (allis shad), 597 nucleotides. RefSeq lists it as uncharacterized. The transcript is spliced from 6 exons. Lineage: Eukaryota; Metazoa; Chordata; Actinopteri; Clupeiformes; Clupeidae. The record is from RefSeq and is a predicted model, not a curated record.